Molecule: ribosomal RNA, 466 nt
Filed under: uncultured bacterium
Lineage: Bacteria
Description: partial 16S ribosomal RNA
Rfam family: Bacterial small subunit ribosomal RNA
Source: RNAcentral
GAUGAACGCUGGCGGCGUGCUUAACACAUGCAAGUCGAACGGAAAGGCCCAAGCUUGCUUGGGUACUCGAGUGGCGAACGGGUGAGUAACACGUGGGUGAUCUGCCCCGCACUUCGGGAUAAGCCUUGGAAACUGGGUCUAAUACCGGAUAGGACCACUUCUUGGAGGUUGUGGUGGAAAGUUUUUUCGGUGUGGGAUGAGCUCGCGGCCUAUCAGCUUGUUGGUGGGGUAAUGGCCUACCAAGGCGUCGACGGGUAGCCGGCCUGAGAGGGUGUACGGCCACAUUGGGACUGAGAUACGGCCCAGACUCCUACGGGAGGCAGCAGUGGGGAAUAUUGCACAAUGGGCGCAAGCCUGAUGCAGCGACGCCGCGUGGGGGAUGACGGCCUUCGGGUUGUAAACUCCUUUCGCUAGGGACGAAGCGCAAGUGACGGUACCUAGAGAAGAAGCACCGGCUAACUACGUG